GACAGAGGCCCCAAGCGUUAGGCGGAAUCACUGGGCUUAAAGCGUGUGUAGGCGGACGCCUAAGUGUCUUGUGAAAUCCCACGGCUCACCCGUGGAACUGCUGGGCAUACUGGGCGUCUUGGGCCAACUAGGGGCAGCCGGAACAAGCGGUGGAGCGGUGAAAUGCGUAGAUAUUGCUCGGAAGGCCAACGGCGAAGGCAGGUUACUGGUACGCAACUGACGCUGAGGCACGAAAGCGUGGGGAGCAAACAGG
RNAcentral lists this ribosomal RNA (253 nucleotides) under uncultured bacterium. RNAcentral describes it as "partial 16S ribosomal RNA". It matches the Rfam family "Bacterial small subunit ribosomal RNA", at positions 524 to 776 of the family's 1533-position model. The record is from RNAcentral.